This 1127-nucleotide long non-coding RNA is filed under the name Capsicum annuum. RNAcentral's name for it is "long non-coding RNA (CANN_LNC001326)". The record is from RNAcentral. Lineage: Eukaryota; Viridiplantae; Streptophyta; Magnoliopsida; Solanales; Solanaceae.
UCUAUCUGAAAAAAUGCCCUCAAAAUAACACUAAAACAGUGGUGAUCAAAUGAAAGCACCCAAUUAUCUUUGUAAAAAGUCAUUAUCAAUACAAAAGUAAUCCAACAGAGAAGCAGAUAAUCCAAAGUUAGUUGCAAAAAUCAAAAAAUACUGUAAUGGAAAAAUUGUCCUGCAAUGAAUGGAUCUACAUCAAUUCUAACAACAAGGCUUGACAGAUAUGGCGUCUUUCUGUCAAAUUCCAAUCAAACUCCAACAAAAUAACAUUAUUUUAAAUAUAACAGCUUUGUACAAAACAUAAAGCAAGCAUAAAUUAGCAAAUAGACACAAAAAAUUAAAUAAACGGUAUAAUUGAAGACAAUCAAGAAAACAAUGGCAUUGCUUCAAAGGCUUUGCCGAAGCAACACCGGAUACUUGAAAUCCGGCCAGAUCUGACAGCCAUGGUACGGCAGUGGAGAGGGGAAAAGGGAUAACUGUGGUUUCAAGGUUGUUUUAGCGAUGGUAAUGGCUGGACAUCGAUGUUGUUGUUAUGAUGGUUCGGUGGUCACCGGAGCACGUUCACCGAAGCUCCGGCAAUGAUGGCUGACGCAAAAAAGCAGUGGAGGUGGGGAAAUUUUUUGGCCAGAUUUGGCCCGUGUUCCUGGCUAGCAAUGGCGGCAAAGGGAUAAAGAGGGAGAAUGAGAGAGAGUGUGAGGGAGAGUGGUGGUGGCCGGAGCUCCGGCGAAUGAGCUCCGAUAGUGAAGAUGGUUGUUGGCGUCUGUUUUCAGAAAGAGAAAGAGAGAGAGAGUAGAGAGAGAGAGGAGCACACGUGUGUUUGUGUGUGUGUGGUGUAUUUAAAAAAGAAAAAUAAAUAAUUUAUCAAAUAUAUUUUUUUCUUCCAACAUAUCCCUUAAAUUAGGGAAAGUUGAUGUUGGAAAGUCAAAAAAGUGGAUGAAAAUAGGAAAAUAAAAUUAAAUUAAUAUUAUUUGUGUUAAUGUGACAAGAUACCGAAUUAUUAUUGUACUGUGUAUUGAAAUAAUUGAUUCGACUCAACUUUUGCAAGUCAUAUUAAAGAACAUAUAAAAUAAUGAAUGCCGAUAUAUAAAUGCUAUAAAAAAAUUAAAAUUACACUGUGCAGUGCAAAAUUUCAG